GACGAACCGUGCGAACGUUAUUCGGAAUCACUGGGCUUAAAGCGCGUGUAGGCGGGGUGGCACGUCGGUCGCUGAAAGCCCCCGGCUCAACCGGGGAAGGGGCGCCGAUACGACCACCCUGGAGGGACGUAGGGGGACCUGGAACUUCCGGUGGAGCGGUGAAAUGCGUUGAGAUCGGAAGGAACGCCCGUGGCGAAAGCGAGGUCCUGGACGUUUACUGACGCUGAGACGCGAAAGCCAGGGGGAGCGAACGGG
Molecule: ribosomal RNA, 255 nt
Filed under: uncultured bacterium
Lineage: Bacteria
Description: partial 16S ribosomal RNA
Rfam family: Bacterial small subunit ribosomal RNA
Source: RNAcentral